This 164-nucleotide ribosomal RNA is filed under the name Russelia equisetiformis. Its description in RNAcentral is "5.8S ribosomal RNA". It matches the Rfam family "5.8S ribosomal RNA". Rfam says of the family: 5.8S ribosomal RNA (5.8S rRNA) is a component of the large subunit of the eukaryotic ribosome. It is transcribed by RNA polymerase I as part of the 45S precursor that also contains 18S and 28S rRNA. Lineage: Eukaryota; Viridiplantae; Streptophyta; Magnoliopsida; Lamiales; Plantaginaceae. The record is from RNAcentral.
UCAAAACGACUCUCGGCAACGGAUAUCUCGGCUCUUGCAUCGAUUAAGAACGUANCGAAAUGCGAUACUUGGUGUGAAUUGCAGAAUCCCGUGAACCAUCGAGUCUUUGAACGCAAGUUGCGCCCGAAGCCAUUAGGCCGAGGGCACGUCUGCCUNGGCGUCAC